This 10122-nucleotide long non-coding RNA is filed under the name Capsicum annuum. RNAcentral's name for it is "long non-coding RNA (CANN_LNC007920)". Lineage: Eukaryota; Viridiplantae; Streptophyta; Magnoliopsida; Solanales; Solanaceae. The record is from RNAcentral.
AAUAACCUAACUACCCCUCAAUUCUUUUUAUUAAAUUUUUUCUUUUAGUUCCAUUUUAAAUCUAAUCACUAAAAAUUUGAUUGUUAUGUUACAUUAAUUUUCAACCUCUUUUUUCUUUGCGUAUGCUGAUCAAGUGCUUAAAUAUCAUUUUCUUCCUUAUAUUGGUUGAUAGCGUCGAAUGAGAACCACAUUUAUGCUAUUGUAUAAUUGUUUAAUUUACAAAUGGAUUAAUUUAUAUAGAAAAGAUUAUUGUCAAGAAAAUAUAUAAUUUGAAAAUCUAAAACUAUAUUAUCAACGAUCCGUGAUGUUCUUAUAUAAUGUGCUUUUGCAUUUUUAAAAAUUAUUUCUAUAUAAUAUGAUAAUUAUUUGUUGUUUUGAAUUUUUCUUGAUUAAAUAGACUCAAUUUUUUUUGGAAAAAAAUAAAUGUUCAACAACCGAGGCACGGCACGUUGCUAAGGAUAGGCUCAUGCUAUAUCUCCCUGGCAAAGGCAUUUCCCCAUUUCUUCCGCCCUUGGCCUUAACCGCUUAAGCAAAGUAAAAAUUAUUAUUCAUAUUUUAACUUUUCUAUAAGAUCAUCCCAAAAAAAUUUGAUGGUAUAGUAGUAAAAAAAUUUUUGUAGAAUUUUAAAUCUAAACACAAUACAUGAUAUAUUUAUGUUUUAAUAUAAUACACCAAACACUUGAUAAAAAAUAAUCCCUCUAUUACUAAUCCCUGCAUUGCUAAUCCCUGUAUUGUUAAUCCAUGAAUAAUAUCUCUUUGUACCAAACGACCCCUAAGUGUGUUGAAUGUGGAAGAUGGUCCUACCACAGGUGUCUGGUACCUGUAGAAGAAUUUCUCUUUGGGUAAACAUUGGUGUAUAGAAUCAACGCAAAGACAAAUCAAUCUGACAGUUCAUUUUCUCUCCUAGACACAGUUCUCGAGGAAAAGGCCUAAUCCAACCUAGGUUUCCUCCCUCCAUCUCCAGUGAUCGUUUCGAUCACCAGACCCCUUCUUUUGUUUUUCCCUUUUCUUCUUCAUUUUCUUUCCCUCUUCUUUUGCUCUCUCUUGCUAUCAUGGAGGACACCAUCUUCUUUGCGGUCGGCUUCAAAUCUUUUGAUGUGUCGUGGCUAAAUGGAACUUCAGGAGAUUGGUAUGAGUGGUCUGAAAGGAGAAAAAGUACCAUCACUACAACUUCUUUUAACAAGAAGUCAAUCGAUUGGAUUGUUCAAACUCCGCGAGAGGCAUCCAUGACGUCCGAAAAUAUUGUUAAAAGAUGGAAGAGAAAAGAUACAUUAUCAGAAAUCUAUUAUGCUCGAGAUUUCAACAAGUUUGGUAUAUAUAUUUUGAGAGGUAAAAAAGAGCAGUACUUAUUAUCCCUAAAAUAACCUUCAACUAUGGAUGGAAAUACAUAACUGACAAAAUGGGGAGGUUUAUCAACAAAUAUCAUAUCGUAAAUAACAUGAGAAAUACAGGUUAAUGGACGACAAUAUUGCUUACGCAGAGGCAUUGAAGAGCAUUAAAUGGGUAACAAGACAGAAUGUGAAACAGAGGUUAAUGGUGCAUUUAUGAAGGAGAGGGGCACAAUAUGCAUUAAUGACACCUCCUUAGCACAUAAUGAGAUUCCAAACAGAAGUUUAGUGGGGAAAUUUGACAACAGAGCUAAUGAGCCCAUUACUCUUUGCAGAAGUCCGAAGAUGGGAAAAUGACACCUGGAAAUAAUAUCACGGUUUGAACAUCUAUGAGAUGGGUAACGGGAGCUUUCUCUUUGAAUUUGUGUUCCAGGCUAUGGCAGAGCAGGCUAUCGCCGGCAACUGAUUAUGGAAAAAAUCCAAAGUCAGUCUACAGUGGUGAAUCCGGCUAUAGGGGUUGUAGAGAAGGAGUACAAACCCAAUGCAACUUGGAUUAGAAUUGUAGGGCUUCCACUACACCUCUGGUCCCAACAUGUAUUCAAAGCCAUUUGAGACUCCUGUGGAGGUUGGGCUGAGACCGAGGAAGAAACGCAAUUUCUAAAUCACUUUAAAUGGGCGAGAAUAAAGGUCCAUGGAGAUGGAAGAGAUAUUCUGAAAGAAAUCACGGUGGAGAAUGAUGGAAUCCUAUUCACUAUGCAGAUUUUGGAAGAAAUUCUAAUGAGAGUGAUAACCAGUGAUACACAGUGCCCCAACUCUUUUUCCAAAGGUCGCCGAUGACAAACACGAUGGAUAAAAGAGUAGGAGUAUGCAGAGAAAGUGGUCAAAGGUCAGAAGAGCCACAUGACUUUGCAGUCACACGUGGAAAGGAGAGGACAAUAAAUUCAAAUUGUGGGACAUGGGCGGACCGGCUAGAAGAAACUCGCCAAGGCCCAAGUUACUCAAAUAUUUCUGAAAAGGGAAAAGGCCAAUUAUACGACUCUGACUCUUUAGCUUUGCUUCUAAAGCCACGUGAGGGUCAUGUGGAAUCCUCAAUAGCGAUGGAAAAGGGACUUUGGAUUAAAAAGGACAAAUAAGUUAUCCAAUUAAGCAAGCAUUCUUCAAAUUUUUUAAAUUAGGUGGGAGGGACAAAAUCUUUUUGAGUUUUUUUUUUAAAAAUUUUUCCGUUCGAACAACUUGUUCCAGUUGUAGAACAACUUUGGUAGUUGUUUGAUAACUUUGCGAAGUUGUUCAACAACUAGAUACAGUUGUCCUAUAACUGCACCUAGUUGUUGAACAACUAGGCGUAGUUGUUCGACAACUGAGAGAAGUUGUUCAACAACUAUGCGAAGUUGUUCAGAUAACUAACGUAGUUGUCCCACAACUAUCCCAGUUGUUCAAGGGACUUAGUUUUUUUUAGGGACAAGUUGUGGACCCACUUGUCCCUUUUUUUAAUUGGAAACUUGUCGGGCCCUUGUGGCUUAUUUUUCUCGAUGAAGAAGCCAUGUGGGAAUAAGAAAAGAAAACUCAGAGGUUUGCUGGAGAUUAAAAUGUUAGCAUCGCGAUUCCUAGAGGCCUUCAAAGAUUGGGAAUCUAAUGCUAGAGAAGAAACGAACACCACAGACAUAAAAAAGAAUACGAUCGAGAAGAUAUCAACAAUCCAAACAACGGAUAAACUCCAGAACAAAGAAAAUUCAGAAAACUUAGUCAGUCAGAAGUGAGAGACACAUGCACUGAGGUUCCAGGGUAGGGUACGUUACAGAGGAAAACAACUUACAAUUACAACGGAUUCAUGAUGUAGAACCCGUCUCCACGAUAUCUAUAGGGAACAAAGAGAAUCAAAAAUAAAAGCCUCAAAUUGGGUAAAUUCCUAUAUACUGGAGCUGACUAAUACAUACGAGGUGGCUUUUGUGGGAUUCGAGAAGGAAACUUUAGCCCUUCUUAUGAGGUUAGACAAGAUGAAGACUAAAUUGGAGCGAAAGGUACAAAGGAAAGUCACAAUAACUUCUACAAGCAGGGAAUCGGGAAAAUCGAACUGAAGAAUUUACAAUCCAGCCUCAGUGAAGAAGUAGAUGGUGACAAAAACAGAAGGAGAACUCUUAGUCAGACUUUUAAAUGAAAAUCAAUCUUAUCAGAUAGAAUGUAAGAGGACUAAACAAUAUUUCCAGUAGGAAUUUGAUUAAGAGCUUGUUACAGAAGAGGGGAGCUGAUGUGUAUAGUUUUCAAGAAACAAAAUUAAGCCGGAGGAGGAGGUUGCAAAACUGCUCUGGCCAAGCAGGUGGAUGAAGUGAAAUUUUAUUGAAGCCGAAGGUAGUGGUGGAGAGAUUCUGGUGAUGUGGAAAACAAGAUUCUGGGAUGGUGUAUUGGUUGAAACUGGCCAAUACUCUUAUCACUCUUAAAUUUGAAUCUUUACAAAGUUCUUUUACAUGGUUUCUCACUGGGGUGUAUGCUCCUCACACGAGAAAGGAGAAAUUAGAGUGUUGGGAGGAAUUAGCUGCAAUUAAGGAGCUGUGCGGGAGACCGUGGAUUACUUACGGGGAUUUCAAUACAGUAGAUUCAUGGCAGAAAGAAGAGGUUGCAGUAGAAUCACAAAUGUUAUGUGAGAUUUCUCUAGAUGGAUUGAAGAUAUGGAAUUUCAUGAAGGAGGGAACUUUUCGUGGUUUAGGAGAGUCAACCAUAGAAGCGCUGCGAGGUUGGACAGAUUUUUGUACUCCAUGGAGUGUUCAGAAACAUCUGACAGAGAUUACUUCCUAGGGUGACCUCCGACCACAGUCCCAUUAUGCUCAAGUGUGGUAACUAGGAGAAGAAUAGAUCCAACUUUAAAUUCAAAAAUCGGUGGCUCAAGGUGAGGUUUAGCAAUCUGGUAAGGGUUUGGUGGAAUAAAUUUGUGGUAGAGGGAUGUCCAGACUACAAGCUUAGCUUCAAAUUAAAAAUGGAAAAGGGCCCAAAAUGCCCUUCAACUAUGUGAAAUGAUGCAAAAAUGCCUCCCGUCUAUCUAUUGGGCCUAAAAUGCCCUUCCUGUCUAUCUAUUGAGUCUAAAAUGCCCUUUCCGUCUACCUAUUGAGGCUAUUUUGCCUUUUUAUUUAAGAAAAAAAUUACAUAAUACCACAACUUAUCUUUAUUAAACUACAUAAAAUCCCUAUUCUUUUUAUUAGUAUUAACCAAAUAAAUAGUGCAUAAUAUUUAUUUUUCGUCGUUCUAAAUUGAUAUGAUAAAUAAAAGAAAAAACAACAUAAAUAGUCAUUUUUUAAAAAUUAUUACAUAUACAUAGCUGUAUUAGUUGAUUGUCAGAUAUAACAUAUAAAAUAUUUAUACUUUAACUUGACACAAAGUUUAAGAAAAUAAAGAACAGUUUUGAAUCUUAUGGCCUUAAAUUAAUGUUGUGUCAAAUGUACCCAAAUGCCCUUUAAUCUUGUGGUUCUAAACUAUUGCAAAAAAGGAAAGAGCUCUCUCUUUUUGAAACGAACUAUAAAGGAAAGUAGGUCAUUCUUCUUGAAACGGAGGGGGUAUUAAAUUCCCAUAUUUGUUAUUUAAUGUCUAUUUUUAUGGAAGCCCCUAGUCAUUCAUUUUUUAUCUACUAUAUCAAAAUUUUAUGUUUUUCAUUUUUAUUGUUUGUUUUCCCGAUGCAUCCAUAAAAAUAUAUGGUAUAUUUUUAUCAUAAAAAUUCAUAGUAUAUUUAUAUAUUGUACAAAUUAUAUUUAUAUCAUAAUAAUACACGGUAUAUUUAUACCAUAAACAUACAUGGUAUAUUUUAGAUUAUAUCAUGUAAUACUGAAAAUAUAUUUAUAUUUAAUAAAUAAUUUUUUAACAAGAAAACUACUUCUGACAUAAUGUGAUAUAUCAUAAAUAUUUAUCCCAUAAAUUAUAUUAAAUAUAUAAUAAUAAUCUGACUUUGACAUAAAUUAUAUUUAUACAAUAAAAAUACAUGGUAUAUCUGUACUUCCAACAUAAUAAUUUUUAUUCCAUAAAUAUUUAUCUAUAAAAAAUUAUGGUUAACCCAUUACACUAGAAUUAAAAAUACAUGAUAAUCAAAUAAUAUUAGAUGAUUAACAUACAUGAAAACAAAAAGAAACACAAAGGAGCAAAUAAUGGAAUACUUAGUUUAUUUAAAAAUAUUUGAAUUUUGAAUACAAAACAGAGAAAGAUUUCGAAGCAGGGAUUAUCUUUUUCACUUUAAUUUUGAAGAUUGAAAUAUAUUUUUUAAAUUAAGCUGAAUUGUUAAUUAGUUAUAACAUUAAAUUAGGAAUUAUAAUUAUAUUUUUUAAUUCUUUUAAAUGGCUACAUAUAUAUGAAAAAAAAACUUUUAUUUUUUUAAUAUUAAAAAAAUACUAUUAUUUAUGUAGUUAAGUCUUUAGGAUGAUCUUUUCAUGUAAUUUGCCUAAAUAAAAGGGUAAAAUAGGCUCAAUAAGUAGAUAGAAAGGACAUUUUAGGCCCACGGAGGGCGUUUUUGCAUCAUUUUAUAUAGUCGAAGGAUAUUUUAGGCACUUUUCCGAAUUAAAAAUGUUGAAGAAAAAACUUUAAAGUAUAGAGCAAAACUACUUUUGGGAGUUGAUUAAUAGAAAGAAUAGUUUGUUGAAUGAAUUGGCCAAGCUUGACUUAAUCCAAGAUAGCAGAAUCCUGCCAAAAGAUGAGAUGAUAAUCAGAGCUACAAUUUUAGUGAAUUGGAGGACCUUGCUAAAAAAAAGUCAACAUGGAGGAAGAAAUCCAGAGUGCUUUGGUUGAAAAAAGGGGAUAACAACACAAGAUUCUUCCAAAGAAUGGACGGCCUCAACGCAUAGAGGAUAUAAUUCAAUCGAUAGAUUGGUGGUGUAAGGAGAGGAAAUCAAAGAUCCCGAAGGGAUAAAAAUAGCUACAAUAGAGUUCUGUAGCAAGCUUUAGUCAGAAUCAGAAGAUUGGAGACCAUCUUUUGAGUUGCUGGACUGUGCUAAAGUCACUCAAGAGGAGCAGGAAUAGCUACAGAGAGCUUUUUUUUUUUGAACUAAAGGUGCUUCAAAUUGUCAAGCAAUGCGGCGGUGACAAAGCACCUGGACCAGAUGGUUUUACUAUGCAAUUCUCCAAGGGAUGUUAAAGUAUAUUGAAGAAUGAUUUGAUGCUUACUAUCCAGAACUUUCAUCAAAAUGAAAUAUUUGAAAAAUCAUUCAAUGUUACCGUUAUAGCAUUAAUUCUGAAGAAGCCAAGAACGGAAGAACUCAAAGAUUUUGGGGCAACCAACUUGAUAGGAGGAGUGUACAAGAUCAUCUCUAAACUUCUUAUUGGGUGGAUAAAGACUGUUAUGGAUAAACUGGUUGAUAAACAUCAGAUGACCUUCCUAAAAGGCAGGCAAAUUCUAGAUGCAUCUCUGUUGGCCAAUGAGUUGGUGGAUUCUAGAGUAAGACAGAAGACCCCGGAAUUCUAUGCAAAUUGGAUAUCGAGAAGGCUUAUGACCAUGUCAACUGGUCCUUUCUUCUCAAAGUACUAACUAACAUGGGAUUUGACACUAAGUGGAUAAAGUGGAUAAGAUUUUGCAUAUCCAAUUUAAAAUUUUUUCUCAUCAUCAAUGGUAAUACAGAAGGAUUUUUCCAAUCAUAGAGGGGCUUGAUACAAGGUGAUCCUUUAUCACCUUUUUUUUCUUCUUCUAGUCAUGGAGGGUUUAAAUCUUGUGAUCAGAAAAGCUAAAGUAAAUGGAUGGAUUAGGGGCUUUUGUGCCCAAACAAACGGGGGAAGUUCCACGAAAAUCACACACCUACUGUAUGUUGACGACUCACUAGUUUUUUGUGAUGCAAAUGUAGCUCAGAUUAGAUAUCUACGAGCCAUUCUAACCAUCUUUGAAGGCAUCUCUGGACUGCAUGUUAACUGCAUAAGAGCUCUAUUUUUUCGGUUAACCAGGUGGACAACUUGCAUCUAUUAGCUGAGAAUCUAGGCUGCCAAACAACCUCUCUGCCUACCAAGUAUUUAGGAAUGCCUUUGGGUGCAAAAAACAAAGAGCUUCAAAUUUGGAUUGAAGUGUUAGAGAGAUAUGACAAGAUGUAGCUAAGUGGAAGAGUCAGUAUCUAUCUUUAAGGGGGCAGGUUGACACUCAUAAAGUCUGUGAUGGAUGCCCUCCCUACUUAUAUGAAGAGUUUGUUCCCAAUACCUAAGAAUAUUGAGAGGAAGAUCAACAGGAUUAAGAUUUUCUUAUGGUACGGAAACAAGGAGAAAAGGGGUUAUAACUUGGUGAAAUGCGACAUCCUGAUGCUUAACAGGAACCAAGGAGCCAAAGGGGCCUGGGUAUUAAAAAUCUUAGCAUUUAGAAUGAUUGUCUAUUGCAGAAAUGGCUCUGGAGAUUCUGUACAGAGAAUAUGCAGCCCUAUAAAGAUUUAUUAUAGAGAAAUAUGAAUUACUAACUCAAUGGACAAUAGAGGAGGUCACGGGUACCUCUGUCUGUAGUGUUUGGAAAUUCAUCAGAAGGUUAUGGACUCAUUUCUUUACCAAUGUCUCUUUCAAAGUGGGAGAUGGAGCAAAAACUAAUUUCUGGAAUGAACAUUGGAUAAGUGAGGAUAAUUUAAGAAAUCUAUUUCCUCAUCUUUAUAUCCUAAGUUCACAAAGAAAUUUUUCAGUGUCACAAGUGUGGUGUCCUCAAGGAUGGAAUCCAGUGUUCAAGAGAGACAUGAAUGAUUGGGAAGUGGCUGAUAUUGCUAGUCUUUUGCAAAUAUUAAAUCUGUAUCCAGGGAUAACUAGUGGAGUGGAUAAACCAGUCUGGCAGUUACAUAGCAAAGAAAAUUUCACUGUUAAGUCAUGCUACUCAUGCUACUGGGGAAGAAACCAUAACCUCUCCCCUACAAGUAAAUGGCCUUGGAAGCAAAUAUGGGAAGUCAAAAAGUCCACUAAAAGUUGUUUGCUUUAGUUGGUUGGUGGUUUUUAGAACUUGUCUUAUCCAUGAAGUGUUACAGGGAAAAGGUUUGGAGAUCUGCUCAAGAUAUUUUUUAUGUGAUCAAGACGUAGAGGUUAAUAGCCAUCUAUACUUACACUGUAGAACAACCGUAAAACCCGUGGAAUAUAUUCUUGUGUAUCUUAGGGGUUUGUUGGGUGAUGCCAAGUUCCACCCUUGAGUUCCUUAACAGCUGGAAAUGAAUUGAUAAGAGAGGAUCUGAUGAAGACCGGUGGAUGAGCAUCCCAACAUGUGUUUGGUGGACUUUAUGGAAAGAGAGGAAUGCAAAGAUGCUUUGAAGGUAGAAGCAACAGUAUGCAAAAGAUAAGAUGUAAUUGCCUGACUUUAUUGUAUUUUUGGUGUAAACAAGAAUUGGGGGAGGAUACAAUAACACUAGUUGAUUUCAUAGGUAACUUGUAAAGUCUUUUAUGUUUUUGCAGUCCCCUCUGAGGAUAUUCCACAUAGUAUGUGGAUUGUAAAGGUCACUCGUCAUUUUUUGGAUGAUGAGCAUUUUGUGAAUAGAAAAGAUACCCUUGAGUAAAAAAAAAAAACAGGUGUCUGGUCCCUAAAUUUUUGUUGUUUGAAUCCGGUGCUUUUACCUCCCCUGAGGUGAUUAAGGUGGAUCAAGUGUUGUAAUCCCUCUAUCCCAUAUCCCAUGUGAUAAAAAUGUUUACCCACUUCAAAAGACCAACUAAGAAAUUCAGUUUACCGUACAAUCUUAGUCAAUUAGUAUGUUGUUUGCUUUAGGUUUCCAUAACUAGGGAAUGGGUCAACAAAUGUUCUUUCACAUUGUGUUGAACGUGGGUUUUGGCAUGGUUGUAUGCAUGGAUAUCGUUGGUGUGAAUAUUGUUUUUUCAAUGAAUACUUACGUUUGUACCGACAUUAUUCUAUGAUGUUACUACUUACUUUGUCUACUAAUAUCCUGAUAAAGAAAAAGAAAAAUAAAUUCCAGUCUCAGUUGUAUGUGGACGAACCUGCCUUAGUGUCAUUAUCGUGGAUUCGUGUCCAUAGUGUUGGGGAGUUUAAUUAGCAAGUUUUAAUCAAUGAAGCGGUGUAUAGAGCCUAUUAAAGAAGUUAGGAACUUUCAAAUGCAUAUGAUGCCUCCAAUAAUUCUUAAAGAGUUGUUUUCUUUUAAUGUGUUAUAUUUUAAUUCUCUUAAAUUUUGUGCUAUGAGCACAAUUACUUUUAUGAUUUACCAGUUUAUUUUAUAGGGUUGUAAUUCAGUGUUUGCUCAGAAUUGGGUAUUCUAGUCGUUUGUCUUGUAGGCUUAUGUAGAUAUAUCUGCUGCAUUGAGAUUUGAAAAAGUUUGAUGAGAUCUUUUUUGUUUGAUGAAAUCUCAUUUUUGGCCUAUUUUUCUGGAAAGUGGUUUGUGAUCACUACAAAUCACAACCCAAAAGAAAGCUGGUUCAUAAUCAGUAUCUUGGCAUAUUCUUACGAGAGAAAAUCAAGAUAUUGAUUGUUAGCCAGCAGUUUUGGCUUUGACUUUUUGUAGCAUUAACUGAAACAUCUGAAUAUAUCUGGUAAUACUUCACCUCAAUAUGUUUAGCAGUAAACAUGUGUAACUUGCCUCAUUGUGUAAUUCUCUCAACUAUCUACUUAUAACCAGACCGGUCAGUUAGGUUAAUUUCACAGUAAAAGGCCAACAACUCACGUAAUUGUAUUCUCUUGAUAAAGUGAGGUGAUGAUACAUGAAAUGGGCAUUAGAUUAAUUGUUUUUAAGUAAACCCAUAACUACUCCAUCAACAUUAGACCAAAGUGUGUCAAAAAUAUGUAUCUAGAAAGUUAAGUGAUUUCGUAGCUCCAUGCAGGCCAAGUUAGCCUAACUAUUUAUAUAUUCUGGUAUUUCUAUUUACACCUAAAGUACCAAUGAAA